This is a long non-coding RNA of Hordeum vulgare subsp. vulgare (domesticated barley), 447 nucleotides long. RefSeq lists it as uncharacterized. The record is from RefSeq and is a predicted model, not a curated record. NCBI's taxonomy places the organism in Eukaryota, Viridiplantae, Streptophyta, Magnoliopsida, Poales, Poaceae. The transcript has 2 exons.
GGCGGCGCGCGGCCGGCGCCGGUGGGGAACGCCUGCCACUCGAGUCCAGAAGAAAAAACAGCGCCGGCGUAUCGGCACCGACCUCCAUUGUCCCCCACCAAGCUUAUGUCAGGAUGGCACAAGAACUCGAACCGCGGUUUCCCCAAAACCCCUCGUUCAGUCUGAAAUUCAUGUGCUCUGCAUGUAAUUUCUCACUCACUGAACUUAUUUGGUUGGUGUCAGUAAUCAAGGUAAUUUGCAGCCCCGCCAAAAUGCAAUAUCAUGUACUCCCUCUGUAUCUAAAUAAUUGUAGUUUGAGUUCUCCCCGCAAACAAAAGCAAAGCAAUAGCAGGCCAGGUUGAGUGGCCGUGAAGAAAAUAUGGCAAACAUGUAUCCAUCUGCAAGCUUGCCUUAUAGUUUGGACCUGGCAUGUAAGCGAAAGAUGCUAAAACAAAAUCAUUAGAUUAA